AUGAAGAUGUUCCAACAUCUUAUGUAUGUUAACGGUGCAAGGGGUACAACACAGAUAGACAACUUCCUAGCAACCUUCCAGGGUUGUGAGCUCUUGGGUAAAAGUUUGGCAAAGCAAAUGGUGAAGUUCUCCUACAAUGACUUGCCUGCCAAGUACAGGAGCUGCUUGCUCUACCUAACUAUCUUCCCGCAAGGUGACCACAUUAGGAGAUCAACCGUGUGUAGAAGAUGGAUAGCUGAAGGCCUGAUAACAUCCAGGGAGAAUCAUGCAGAAGAUGAAGCUGAUUCAUGUUUCAAUGCCCUCCUCUCGAGGAGUCUCAUUCAACCUGGGGAGAUCGGUGACAUGGGAAAGACCAAGACCUGCACAUUACAUCAUGUUGUUCAUCAAGUCAUCACCAGGAUUGCUAGAGAUAUAAACUUUGCGGACACGGACCUACCACCCGAUUUGGCUCGCCACCUUUCCAUUCACAGCAGAACUGAGGUGCAAGCAUCUCACACAGAUCAUGCGUUGCAAGCAGCUGAUGGUGUUGGCGUUGUAGCACUUCUUCCAUAUUUGGCAAAGUCAUCUCAGUGGAAGCUAAUGAAGAUGUUGGAUCUAGAAGGUUGCAGAGGCUUAAAGAAGCAACAUUUGAAGAUCAUCUGUAAAAUAAUAUUGCUAAAGUACUUAAGCCUCAGGAACACAGAUAUCACUGAACUACCGAAGAAAAUCGAGAAGCUGCAAUGCCUGGAGACCUUGGACAUUCGACAAACAACGGUACGGGCCUUCGCCACAAAAUCAGUCAUGCUUCCAAUGCUGAAGCAUCUACUCGCUGGUCAGGCUGAGUCUCCAAGCAACAUCACUGAUAGGUCUCAGGAUUCGUUUACGGCCGUGCGCCUUCCCAGCAGCAUCAAAAGAAUGAAUCAGUUGGAGACACUGUCACAUGUUGAAGUUUCCCACAGUGUUAAUGAUUUAACUGGUGUUGGUCAUCUAUUACAGCUGAGGAAACUGGGUGUGAUUCUCCAGGGUAAGAAAGGUGGCCUGAGUUAUCUAUUUCAACAGAUUGAAAAAUUACAUGGUUGCCUUCGCUCCUUGUCUAUUCAGAUCAACGAACCGGUUUCUCAAACUGAGGAUACUCUUAGUUCAGAGGAGGUGAUCACAUUAGCCUCCCCUCCACACCUUCUUCAAAGCCUAAACAUUAGCGGCAUCACAAGUGGGUUUCUACUCUGGAUUGCAGAGCUCGAUCAACUUACCAAGAUAACACUGAGCAAGACUUACCUAGGGGAAGAUGAUAUAUGCAUCCUCGGCAAGCUUGCAGCUCUGCGCUGCCUCAGGCUUCGCCGCAGUUCAUACGCCGGAAGCAGGCUCACAUUCAAGCAAGAAGAGUUCAAGAUCCUCAAGUCUUUGGUCGUUGAUGAUGGUACCAUCACCGACAUUAUCUUUGACACUGGAGCCGCUCCCAAGCUGGAGAGGAUUGUGUGGUCCUUUGCCAAAAUGGAGUCUAUUCGUGGACUCCUCCGCCUUCCCAAAUUGAAGAAUGUCGAGCUCAAUGGUGACUGCGACCCAGAUCCAGUGAGACUAGCACUUGAAAAGCACCCCAACCUUCCUGAUUUCAAGCACAAGCCACACCAGGGGCAACAAGAAGAUAGAGCUGUGGUUGCUGCCUCACCUCAAUGA
Molecule: ribosomal RNA, 1653 nt
Filed under: Triticum aestivum (bread wheat)
Lineage: Eukaryota; Viridiplantae; Streptophyta; Magnoliopsida; Poales; Poaceae
Description: partial small subunit ribosomal RNA
Source: RNAcentral